CAACCGCCGCGGUAAUACGUAGGGUGCAAGCGUUAAUCGGAAUUACUGGGCGUAAAGCGUGCGCAGGCGGUUAUAUAAGACAGAUGUGAAAUCCCCGGGCUCAACCUGGGAACUGCAUUUGUGACUGUAUAGCUAGAGUACGGCAGAGGGGGAUGGAAUUCCGCGUGUAGCAGUGAAAUGCGUAGAUAUGCGGAGGAACACCGAUGGCGAAGGCAAUCCCCUGGGCCUGUACUGACGCUCAUGCACGAAAGCGUGGGGAGCAAACAGGAUUAGAUACCCGAGUAGUCCCUGUCUCUUAUAC
Molecule: ribosomal RNA, 301 nt
Filed under: uncultured bacterium
Lineage: Bacteria
Description: partial 16S ribosomal RNA
Rfam family: Bacterial small subunit ribosomal RNA
Source: RNAcentral